Molecule: ribosomal RNA, 440 nt
Filed under: uncultured bacterium
Lineage: Bacteria
Description: partial 16S ribosomal RNA
Rfam family: Bacterial small subunit ribosomal RNA
Source: RNAcentral
CCUACGGGCGGCAGCAGUGGGGAAUAUUGCACAAUGGGGGAAACCCUGAUGCAGCGACGCCGCGUGAGUAAAGAAGUAAUUCGUUAUGUAAAGCUCUAUCAGCAGGGAAGAAAAUGACGGUACCUGAGUAAGAAGCCCCGGCUAACUACGUGCCAGCAGCCGCGGUAAGACGUAGGGGGCAAGCGUUAUCCGGCUUUACUGGGUGUAAAGGGAGCGUAGACGGCAGUGAAAGUCUGGAGUGAAAGGCGGGGGCUCAACCCCCGGACUGCUAUGGAAACUGUACGGCUGGAGUGCAGUAGAGGUAAGUGGAAUUCCUAGUGUAGCGGUGAAAUGCGUAGAUAUUAGGAGGAACACCAGUGGCGAAGGCGGCUUACUGGACUGUAACUGACGUUGAGGCUCGAAAGCGUGGGGAGCAAACAGGAUUAGAUACCCGAGUAGUC